GGACCUCCCACGCCGAGCUCAGAUUGAGCGCAGACCUAACGGCGCUCUGAACGGCCCUAAACGUUUGCUAGGCUUAGAGCCGGAUGCCACGUAGUUCUCCUCUCUGGGUUUCUCAGGGGUCCUUUUCCGUACCCUCCCGCGACUCCGCCUCUGGCCGCGCGUGUCUGGCUGCUAGACCGACACCAAGGACUGGCCGGGUACCCGGGAAGAAAGCACGUGCUCCAGCAGUUGCCGCGCCGCGCGUCUGCCAGUCAGUCCCGCGCCCAGCCCCGAGAGAGGCCCUAGGGCGCUGCGGGCUUUCGGGGUCCGCAGUCCCCCCGCGACGCUAGCCAACGGGAGGCGUCAAAAGACCCGGGCCUUCUGUGGCAGGCACGCCUGGCGCUGGCUGGCGUGGCCCUUGGCCGUCGUCACCUGUGGAGAGCACGUCUUCCCCGCCGCGCCCUCUGCGCGAGGAGGAGACUCGACAGCAUGUCACCCGCGCUCCAAGACCUGUCGCAACCCGCAGGUCUGAAGAAAACCCUGCGGGAUGAGAUCGAUGCCAUUCUGCGGAAGAGGAUUAUGGUGCUGGAUGGAGGGAUGGGGACCAUGAUCCAGCGGCAGAAGCUAAACGAAGAACACUUCCGAGGUCAGGAAUUUAAAGAUCAUGCCAGGCCACUGAAAGGCAACAAUGACAUUUUAAGUAUAACUCGGCCCGAUGUCAUUUACCAAAUCCAUAAGGAAUACUUGCUGGCUGGGGCAGAUAUCAUUGAAACAAAUACUUUUAGCAGCACUAGUAUUGCCCAAGCUGACUAUGGCCUUGAACACUUGGCCUACCAGAUGAACAAGUGCUCUGCAGGAGUGGCCAGAAAAGCUGCCGAGGAGAUAACUCUCCAGACAGGAAUUAAGAGGUUUGUGGCAGGGGCUCUGGGUCCGACUAAUAAGACACUCUCUGUGUCCCCAUCCGUGGAAAGACCGGAUUAUAGGAACAUCACGUUUGAUGAGCUUGUUGAAGCAUACCAAGAGCAGGCCAAAGGACUUCUGGAUGGCGGGGUUGAUAUCUUACUCAUUGAAACUAUUUUUGAUACUGCCAAUGCCAAGGCAGCCUUGUUUGCACUCCAAAACCUUUUUGAGGAGAAAUAUGCUCCCCGGCCUAUCUUUAUUUCAGGGACAAUUGUUGAUAAAAGUGGGCGGACUCUUUCUGGACAGACAGGAGAGGGAUUUGUCGUCAGCGUGUCUCAUGGAGAACCACUCUGCAUUGGAUUAAAUUGUGCUUUGGGUGCAGCUGAAAUGAGACCUUUUAUUGAAAUAAUUGGAAAAUGUACAACAGCCUAUGUCCUCUGUUAUCCCAAUGCAGGUCUUCCCAACACCUUUGGUGACUAUGAUGAAACGCCUUCUGUGAUGGCCAAGCACCUAAAGGAUUUUGCUAUGGAUGGCUUGGUCAAUAUAGUUGGAGGAUGUUGUGGGUCAACACCAGAUCAUAUCAGGGAAAUUGCUGAAGCUGUGAAAAAUUGUAAGCCUAGAGUUCCACCUGCCACUGUUUUUGAAGGACAUAUGUUACUGUCUGGUCUAGAGCCCUUCAGGAUUGGACCGUACACCAACUUCGUUAACAUUGGAGAGCGCUGUAAUGUUGCAGGAUCAAGGAAGUUUGCUAAACUCAUCAUGGCAGGAAACUAUGAAGAAGCCUUGUGUGUUGCCAAAGUGCAGGUGGAAAUGGGAGCCCAGGUGCUGGAUGUCAACAUGGAUGAUGGCAUGCUAGAUGGUCCAAGUGCAAUGACCAGAUUUUGCAACUUAAUUGCUUCCGAGCCAGACAUCGCAAAGGUACCUUUGUGCAUUGACUCCUCCAAUUUUGCUGUGAUUGAAGCUGGGUUGAAGUGCUGCCAAGGGAAGUGCAUUGUCAAUAGCAUUAGUCUGAAGGAAGGAGAGGACGACUUCUUGGAGAAGGCCAGGAAGAUUAAAAAGUAUGGAGCUGCUGUGGUGGUCAUGGCUUUUGAUGAAGAAGGACAGGCAACAGAAACAGACACGAAAAUCAGAGUGUGCACCCGGGCCUACCAUCUGCUUGUGAAAAAACUGGGCUUUAAUCCAAAUGACAUCAUUUUUGACCCUAAUAUCCUAACCAUUGGGACUGGAAUGGAAGAACACAACUUGUAUGCCAUUAAUUUUAUCCAUGCAACAAAAGUCAUUAAAGAAACAUUACCUGGAGCCAGAAUAAGUGGAGGUCUUUCCAACUUGUCCUUCUCCUUCCGAGGAAUGGAAGCCAUUCGUGAAGCAAUGCAUGGGGUUUUCCUUUACCAUGCAAUCAAGUCUGGCAUGGACAUGGGGAUAGUGAAUGCUGGAAACCUCCCUGUGUAUGAUGAUAUCCAUAAGGAACUUCUGCAGCUCUGUGAAGAUCUCAUCUGGAAUAAAGACCCUGAGGCCACUGAGAAGCUCUUACGUUAUGCCCAGACUCAAGGCACAGGAGGGAAGAAAGUCAUUCAGACUGAUGAGUGGAGAAAUGGCCCUGUCGAAGAACGCCUUGAGUAUGCCCUUGUGAAGGGCAUUGAAAAACAUAUUAUUGAGGAUACUGAGGAAGCCAGGUUAAACCAAGAAAAAUAUCCCCGACCUCUCAAUAUAAUUGAAGGACCCCUGAUGAAUGGAAUGAAAAUUGUUGGUGAUCUUUUUGGAGCUGGAAAAAUGUUUCUACCUCAGGUUAUAAAGUCAGCCCGGGUUAUGAAGAAGGCUGUUGGCCACCUUAUCCCGUUCAUGGAAAAAGAAAGAGAAGAAACCAGAGUGCUUAACGGCACAGUAGAAGAAGAGGACCCUUACCAGGGCACCAUCGUGCUGGCCACUGUUAAAGGCGACGUGCACGACAUAGGCAAGAACAUAGUUGGAGUAGUCCUUGGCUGCAAUAAUUUCCGAGUUAUUGAUUUAGGAGUCAUGACUCCAUGUGAUAAGAUACUGAAAGCUGCUCUUGACCACAAAGCAGAUAUAAUUGGCCUCUCAGGACUCAUCACUCCUUCCCUGGAUGAAAUGAUUUUUGUUGCCAAGGAAAUGGAGAGAUUAGCUAUAAAGAUUCCAUUGUUGAUUGGAGGAGCAACCACUUCAAAAACCCACACAGCAGUUAAAAUAGCUCCGAGAUACAGUGCACCUGUAAUCCAUGUCCUGGACGCGUCCAAGAGUGUGGUGGUGUGUUCUCAGCUGUUAGAUGAAAAUCUAAAGGAUGAAUACUUUGAGGAAAUCAUGGAAGAAUAUGAAGAUAUUCGACAGGACCAUUAUGAGUCUCUCAAGGAGAGGAGAUACUUACCCUUAAGUCAAGCCAGAAAAAGUGGUUUCCAAAUGGAUUGGCUGUCUGAACCUCACCCAGUGAGGCCCAUGUUUAUUGGGACCCAGGUCUUUGAAGACUAUGACCUGCAGAAGCUGCUGGACUACAUUGACUGGAAGCCUUUCUUUGAUGUCUGGCAGCUCCGGGGCAAGUACCCGAAUCGAGGCUUUCCCAAGAUAUUUAACGACAAAACUGUAGGUGGAGAGGCCAAAAAGGUCUACGAUGAUGCCCACAAUAUGCUGAACACACUGAUUAGUCAAAAGAAACUCCGAGCCCGGGGUGUGGUUGGGUUCUGGCCAGCACAGAGUAUCCAAGACGACAUUCACCUGUAUGCAGAGGGUGCUGUACCCCAGGCUGCAGAGCCCAUAGCCACCUUCUAUGGGUUAAGGCAACAGGCCGAGAAGGACUCUGCCAGCACGGAGCCAUACUACUGCCUCUCAGACUUCAUCGCUCCCUUGCAUUCUGGCAUCCGUGACUACCUGGGCCUGUUUGCCGUUGCCUGCUUUGGGGUAGAAGAGCUGAGCAAGGCCUAUGAGGAUGAUGGUGAUGACUACAGCAGCAUCAUGGUCAAGGCACUGGGGGACCGGCUGGCAGAGGCCUUUGCAGAAGAGCUCCAUGAAAGAGUUCGCCGAGAAUUGUGGGCCUACUGUGGCAGUGAGCAGCUGGAUGUUGCAGACCUGCGCAGGCUGCGGUACAAGGGCAUCCGCCCGGCUCCCGGCUACCCCAGCCAGCCCGACCACACCGAGAAGCUCACCAUGUGGAGACUCGCAGACAUCGAGCAGUCUACGGGACCUCCAGUUUUAGACUUCAUCAAGCAAGCCUGGUUUCAUUUCUUCUUGCUUAACCUGAUGAACCAGUGUGCUGUGCACCACUGUUGGAAACACUGGUACGAAGUCCUGGUACAGAACUCUUUCUGAAUAUUAAUCUCUGUAUUGCUACGCCAGAAUCAGAACUGAAGAUGAAAUAAAGGCUUUUCAUACCAACAAAAGUGGAAAGAAUUCAUCAUAAGAAGACCUGCAUGAGAAGAAAUGCUAGGAAAGCUCAAGUAGAAGAAAAUGAUACCAGAUGGAAAUCUGGAUCUCCACGAAGGAACAAAAAGUAUUGAGAAUGGGAACCAUCCUAUGUGGACUUUAUUCAUAAUAACCAAUCCUGAGGAAAAGCUAUAAUGUUCGUCAAAAGAAGGAAAUCCUGGCUGUGCCUAUAAUCACAGCAUUCUUGGAGGCCAAGGCAGGAGGAUCACUUGAGCCCAGGAGUUCAAGACCAGCCUGUACAACAUAGUGAAAUAUUGUCUCUACAAUUUUUUUUUUUUAAUUAGCGGGGUGUGUUGACACACACCUGUGGUCCCAGCUACAUGGAAGGCUGAGGUGGAGGAUUGCUUGAGCACAGGAGGUCAAGGCUGCAGUGGUUUAUGACCAUGCCAGUCCACUCCAGCCUGGGUGACAGAGCAAGACCCAGUCUCAAAAGAAAAAAGAAGGAAAUCCUGUCAUUCAUGACAUCAUGGAUGAAACUUCAGGGCAUUAUGCUAAGUGAAAUAAGCCAGUUAUAGAAAGACAAAUACUGCAUGAUCUCACUUAGAUGUGUGAUAUGGUCAGUGUUCCCACCCAAAUCGCAUCUUGAGUUGAAAUUCCCAUGUGUUGGGGGAGGGACCUCAUGGGAGGUGACUGAAUCAUGGGGCGGUUCCUCUGUGCUGUUCUCAUGAUAGUGAGUGAGUUCUCAUGAAAUCUGAUGGUUUUGUGAGGGGCUUUUCACCCCUUCGAUCUGCACUUCUCUCAAUCUUCUCCUCCUUGCUGCCGUGUGAAGAAAGACAUGUUUGCUUCCCCUUCUGCCAUGAUUGUAAGUUUUCUGAGGCCAAGCCCUGGGGAACUGUGAGUCAAUUAAACCUCUUUCCUAUAUAAAUUACCCAGUCUCGGGUGUUUCUUCAUAGCUGCGUGAGAACAGACUAAUACAACGUGGAAUCUAAAAGAGUCAAGUACAUAGAAACAGUAGCAUGAUGGUUGCCAGAGGCUGCAGGGAGGAGGAAAUGGGGAGCUGUUCAACAGGUGGAGCUCCAGUUAAGCAGGAUGAUUGUGCUCUAGCGAUCUGCUGUAUAAUGUAAUGACUAUAGUUAGCAAUACUACAUUGUACACUCAACAGUUUGAGGGUGGAUCUCAUGGUAAGUGUUCUUACCACAAAAAAACAAAACCAAUGUCCAUUGACAGGAAAAUGGGUAAACAAUUCAUGGAAUAUUCAUACCCUGGAAUACUAUUCAGCAGUAAAAGGAAUGAACUACUGAUCUAGGCCCAACAGUAUGAACAAAUGUCAAACUCACUCUGUUGGGCAAAAGAGCCCAAAUGUAGAAGAACACAUAAUUUCAUGAUUUCAUUUAUAUGAAGUACAAGAAUAGGCUGAAGUAAAGUCAGAUGCGGUGGCUUAUGCCUGUAAUCUCAGCACUUUGGGAGGCCAAGGUAGGGGAAUUGCUUGAGGCCAGGAGUUCAAGACCAGCCAGAGCAACAUAGUGAGACCCUGCCUCUACAAAAGUUUAAAAAAUAACCAGGCAUGAUGGUGUGUGCCUAUAAUUCUAGCUACUCUGAAGGCUGAGGCAGGAGGAUUUCUUGAGCCCAGGAGUUCAAGGCUGCAGUGAGCCAGGAUUGUGCCACUGCACUCCAACCAGGGUGACAGAGCUAGACCCUGUCUCUAAGGAAAAAAAAAAAAAAAGAAUAGGCUGAAGUAUUCUACAGUGAUAGACUUCAGAACGGUUAUCUGUGGGAGUUGGGGACUGACUGGAAGAGGACAUAAGAGCAAUUUUGGGGAUAAUAGAAAUGUUCCAUGUAUCUUGGUUGCAGUAAUAAUUCUAUGAGGUAUAUAUUUAUCAAACCUCAAUGAAUUGUACACCUAAGAUAUAUGCAUUGCACUGUAUGCAAAUUUAACCUCAAGAAGAAAAAUAAUUUCAACAAUAUCAAACUCUAGUUAAUAGGCUUGCUUUUCUCAGUGGCUUGGCUUAGCAAUUCUAAAACUAUUAUAGAUAUUUCUCACUGUUGGAGAAAGUAGUUACAAACAUGGAAAGGAGAAAAGACCAUUGCCAAAGCCAGGAUUCUCUGGUAUUUUUUUUUAAUCCGAAUUUCUUAAAAAAUUCUAGGAUUUGGAAACAUUCUGGAUAAAUGGGAAUUCAUUGUAAAAAUAGAUUAGAACCUUAAUACUUACAUCUUUGAUAUGUCAGUUCUCACUUAACAUUAAUUUCAAGACCAUAUCCUAGAUGUCUAAUAGAUUUUGCUUUACUUUGGAGUUUCCAAAGAAUGCCUUUUAGAAAUCCUUUCCUAUAAAAAGAAACACUGGUUUUUCAAAAUAUGUACAUAGAACAAAAGGACUUCCCUGUCAAAAUAGGCAGGGUCCUCGGUGAGACCUAAAUAUUCUGCUGUUUCCACUUUAAGCCUCUUAGCUGUGUUUCUGUUUCUAUAGAGCAAGAGCAGAUCCCAGAAAAGUAAUUUUUCUUCUUUUGUUGAAACUUCUUUAUCUGGCAGAAAAUGGUAACUCAUCAAACCUGCAGCAGAAGGCAACUUUUCAACUCUCAGUCAAUUUGAUCAACAUUCAGCAUCCAUCAAAUGAAGGAUUGGGAGUGAUAACCUUAAAAAAUCCUGCUAGGCUACUGGUUAUUGAUUCUCUGUUCAGCCUGAUGGAUGAAGAUGCGAAGGCAACAAGCGAAAAUGCAAACCUGGCUGCCGGCCUCCUUCAUGCCAUGUUAGGUUAGGCAGGACUUGUGUCUGAAAAGCACCAUUGUUGGUUUUACCAAAAAUGCACUGCCGUCAUCACGACCAAUCAGAAUGUCACCCUAGCUGGAGAUCUGCUCCUCCUGGCCUUUCCUUGGGAUUUUCAGAAAAGCUCAGAAAACAAUUUACAAUAAAACUUAAUUACUUUUAGCCUGGCUGUUUGCGAUCCACUAUGAUUGGAAAUGGGAUGACAUGUGCGAUUUAUGCUAAGAAGAAAACACUAAGUGUGAUAGUAGUAUGAAGGAGCUUGUAGGAAGGGUUUAAUUUAUUUUAGAGAUUAAGUUCUUUUUGAGGGCUUUAGAAGCAUUGAUUCAUAUUAAAAUAAUAAAUGUGCUAAUUAUAGUUGAAUCGUUUCAACUCAUUAAGCCAGUACCGCAAGACCUCUCAUUAGCCAUGCGACAUGGGUGGUUAAGAAUGAUUAUGGGUAGUGUCCAAGGACUCCAAUAGUCAAUCAGCUGGUGCACGGCUGGGCUAGCCUUGAAUAACAUCACAAAGCAAUAGAUCCUUCUGGCAGCAUCCUUCUCCCUAAAUCCUGCCCCCAGCCCCUUAAGUGUUCAAUGCCCUUAGGUUUUCUGCCUCUUAACACCUCUAAGAGGUUUCCCUGGCCAGUUACCUUAAGAAGGAUCAAGUUAAUGAGCUGUGCUUUAUGAUGGCACUUGCACCAUCCUGUUAUAAUAAUUUAUUUAGAUUUCUCUCCCUACUAAACUGUAAAUUCUAGUCAAUAAUUUUUAUUGAAUUAAAUAAUGUAUAAAGAAUGCUAUAAAUAACUUAUACUAGUUUAUCUAAUUCAAAGUCAUUAAAAUUUAAUAAACUAGAUUGGAAGUUCCUGGUAGACAGAGUAAGUAUUAUUUAAGUUGCAGCCCCGGUAUAUAAGACAAUAUCUGACACAAAAUGGUCCCUUAACAAAUAGUGAAGAAACAGUGGUGAUGGUCUCUUACCUGCAAAGGAGCAAGCUUUAUGGGAGAAUUUUUUUUUUUUUUUUUUUAGAGAUGGAGUCUUGCUGUGUUGCCUAGACUGGACUUGAACCUGGGCUCAAGCGAUCUUCCCACCUCAGCCUCCUGAGUAGCUGAGACUCCAGGUGCAUGCCACUGCACCUUUAUGAGAGAAUUCUGACCUUAGAGGGAGUAGACUGUUAGAUGGGCAUCUUUCCACUUGCCCCAGGGUUUUGGCCUCUCACUGGGAGCACCAAAAAGGGAAACACUCGUGUGAGUGACCCCCUUUAACUAAGACCCAGCAGAGCCAUGGCAAACAGCUGGAUUACAGUAGUGAGUCUCCUGUCACUGGAAGUGUCCAAGGAAAGUCAGGUUGCAUCAAAGUUGCUGGAUCAGGGUCCCUUUUUGAGUGGAUUACACGAGCUCCGUGGUUCUGUGGAUGGGGCACUUAUUUACUCCUUCAUUCAGAGUGACAAAAGUGAACUGUCAUUGUCAUCUAUCCAUGGCUCAGCAUUACCAAAGAAGCAAUGAGAACAUUUUCCAACGCAGAGCGUGAAAUGCUUGUCGCAGCUAGCUGGAAUGCUCAAGCACACAAAUCAAUUUCCAUGUUAAUUAGUCAGUAUCUGCUGUACACCCUGAAAAUGGAAAGAGCCACAAAACCAAAGUUACAUAACUAACUUUCAGCUGCAGCCUGUGUCACCUGAAAAUCCUUUUAGUAACUUUGUUCUGAGGAUGUCUUGCCUGUCUGAGAAACUGUGAACAAACAGAUUCAGGUAAACAAUAAGAAAAGAUUUUGAAACCUCUCUUCCUGUAAGAGGAUGUAAUUUGGCUGCAUGUUGUAUAUUUACUUGAGUUGAUUGAAAGAGGAAAAAAGAAACUCAUCUGGUACCAUGCAAAUCAGCUCGUGAAACAUCCAGAGGGUGUGAUAUUUUUACAAAACAGUCCAGCCGGUUUACACUGUUGGUUUAGGAAAAAAUAUAUUCUUUCACCUUCAUUCCUAAGUUAAAGGUUUGUUUUGAAAAUGGAAGGAAACUCAUGCUUCACUCGUGCUCCUGUCCAGCAUUGACAUGGAGGCAGUGGAAAAAAGAAAGAGAGGAAGAGGUGAUGAAGGUACAUUUAAAGAUGUGAUGCUGAUCUUGAGGGCGCAGCGGGGAAGAGAGUCUGCUUCCCUCUGUCUCAACCCUCUCUCAGCUUCUUACCGCUUCAUCCUCUGCCAGUAGGGACAACAUCUUCCUCAAAGCCUUUUUAAGUAGGAGGUUUGAGCAAGGGAUAACUAUGCACACAUCCGGAGGACUGUGGGGAGGGGUGUGUGUGUGCACUGAGAAUAACCAUGUAAACUCUAAGGAUUUUCCAAGUUCUAACAUUUUUAUUUCAUCAGAGAGAGAAGAUUUUCUUAAAGGACUGUGAGGACACCAUAGAGGGUGAUAUGGUUUGGCUGUGUCCCCACCCAAAUCUCAUCUUGAUUGAAUUCCCACAUGUUGUGGGAGGGACCUAGUGGGAGGUAAUUGAAUCAUGGGGGCGGCUUCCCGUAUACUGCUCUUGUGGUAGUCAAUAAGUCUCACGGGAUCUGAUGGUUUUAUAAGUGGUUUCUGCUUUGGCUUGGCUCUCAUUCUUUCUCGUCUGUCACAAUGUAAGAUAUGCCUUUCACCUUCCGUCAUGAUUGUGAGACCUUCCCAGCCAUGUGAAGCUGUGAGUCCAUUAAACUUCUUUUUUCUUUAUAAAUUA
RNA transcript from Symphalangus syndactylus (siamang), 9677 nucleotides. It is a transcript of the gene named 5-methyltetrahydrofolate-homocysteine methyltransferase, with no coding region annotated. The record is from RefSeq and is a predicted model, not a curated record. Lineage: Eukaryota; Metazoa; Chordata; Mammalia; Primates; Hylobatidae.